GCAAGUCGAGCGGAAACGAUACCAGCUUGCUGGUAGGCGUCGAGCGGCGGACGGGUGAGUAAUACUUAGGAAUCUACCUAGUAGUGGGGGAUAGCGCGGGGAAACUCGAAUUAAUACCGCAUACGACCUGCGGGAGAGAGGGGGCAGUUUACUGCUCUCGCUAUUAGAUGAGCCUAGGUCGGAUUAGCUAGAUGGUGAGGUAAAGGCCUACCAUGGCGACGAUCUGUAGCUGGUCUGAGAGGAUGAUC
This 248-nucleotide ribosomal RNA is filed under the name uncultured bacterium. RNAcentral describes it as "partial 16S ribosomal RNA". It matches the Rfam family "Bacterial small subunit ribosomal RNA", at positions 57 to 305 of the family's 1533-position model. The record is from RNAcentral.